Molecule: ribosomal RNA, 468 nt
Filed under: uncultured bacterium
Lineage: Bacteria
Description: partial 16S ribosomal RNA
Rfam family: Bacterial small subunit ribosomal RNA
Source: RNAcentral
GACGAACGCUGGCGGCGUGCUUAACACAUGCAAGUCGAACGGAAAGGCCCUGCUUUUGUGGGGUGCUCGAGUGGCGAACGGGUGAGUAACACGUGAGUAACCUGCCCUUGACUUUGGGAUAACUUCAGGAAACUGGGGCUAAUACCGGAUAGGAGCUCCUGCUGCAUGGUGGGGGUUGGAACGUUUCGGCGGUUGGGGAUGGACUCGCGGCUUAUCAGCUUGUUGGUGGGGUAGUGGCUUACCCAGGCUUUGACGGGUAGCCGGCCUGAGAGGGUGACCGGCCACAUUGGGACUGAGAUACGGCCCAGACUCCUACGGGAGGCAGCAGUGGGGAAUAUUGCACAAUGGGCGGAAGCCUGAUGCAGCAACGCCGCGUGCGGGAUGACGGCCUUCGGGUUGUAAACCGCUUUCGCCUGUGACGAAGCGUGAGUGACGGUAAUGGGUAAAGAAGCACCGGCUAACUACGUG